This is a long non-coding RNA of Eleginops maclovinus (Patagonian blennie), 3387 nucleotides long. RefSeq lists it as uncharacterized. Lineage: Eukaryota; Metazoa; Chordata; Actinopteri; Perciformes; Eleginopidae. The transcript has 4 exons. The record is from RefSeq and is a predicted model, not a curated record.
UGUGUGUGUGUGUGUGUGUGUGUGUUUGAAGGGGAAGUUCUCCAGGCUGAGGAAGCAAAGUCAUGCCUCCAGAACCCUCUGUAAAAAAACAAUAACUCUGAAACCGUGCAGUUCUUGUUCUUAUGGCUUACUGUGAACAGGACCCUGAGUGGAGCACACCAGAGCGGGUGUAGGCGAUGGGGUCUCCUCUGUUAGUUUGACCUCUGUGUGGGAGUGUGUGUGUGGUGCCACUGAGGUUUGACUGUCCUCUAUGUGUGUGUCCACGCUGUGUUUGUCAGUCAGCAGGUGAGGGGGGAUGUACCCAGACUGGGAGUUUGUUUGCUUCCUGUGAUGGUGGUGCUCGUUUGGGGAUUUCGGCGGGCAGCGGCCCCUCUUGUCCUGCCCCCGGAAGCCCCUCAGUUUGGGGCUCCAGUGUUCCCGCCACUGGAGGGCCAGGGUGGAGCGGUCCGCCACCAGGCGACUCUCCUCUGGGCCCCAGCCCCGCUCCCCCUCCUCCGCACCGAUCAGCAGGAAGGUCCGGCCCACGUGGAGGGCGGGGCAGCCGCACCCAAGGUCGCGGUCGGGGACCCAGAGGGACUGCUGGCCCUUGCGGAUGCGGGAUUUGGACCCUGCCCGGAAGACGGUUUGGACUGAGAUGGAGAACUGCCACCAGGGACCUGAACGCUCCAUCCCUCGCACCUGCACCUUCAGCACUGAGAAAGACAGAAAGGCAAUUUAUUUAUAAUCUUUUUUUUUUUUUAAGAUAUUUUUUUGGGGGCUUUUUGCCUUUAAUCGGAUAGGACAGUGGAGAGUGACAGGAAGGUGGGAGAGAGAGUCGGGGUGGGAUCCGGAAAGGACCACGGGUUGGGAAUCGAACCUGGGUCGCCAUCGUACGGUGCAUGUGCCCCAGCCAGUUGCGCCGCGGCCAUAAUCUUUUGUUUUGAGUCUUUUUCCUUUAUCUUUAUUGUCGUUUUUAGUGGCCAAAAUUUGGUUUCACUCGACGAGUUCACAAACAAAAAACAAUGACACCUACCGAAGUCCUUCAGACAAUAGGUCUCCAAGUUCAUCCUGACUUUGACCUGAGAAGGCUGACAGUACGAAACGCACUCCUCCGCUAUAACAGAGAAGGGGAGAGAGGGAGAAUGCAUCAAAUGAGAGGGUAUCAUUUCAUAGCAAGCAUAUCAGCACAUGUCUUUUCUCCCUAAUUACAAUAUGGCUGCUUCUAUUUGUCAUCACAGUAUCCUGUGACUAACAGAUGACCUCCACUGCAGCAGAUGGGACAUUCCUCAAGCCGCCGCUAGGAGGGAGUGGUAAGCUACGGCAUAAAGAGUUAGAGCGGGAGAAUUUUGUUUUGAUGUAUGAAAAAUGUGUAUGCUGCACAUGAGGCUCCAACAACUGGGUUAUAAAGAAAGUUUGGAGAUUGAGUAAAUCUGGUAUUAUGACAGUGGAAGGGGACACAUUUGUUUGAGUAGUUUUUCAAAGGUGAUUCACAAAACAUUCAAAUAGAUAAAUAGCAAAUAAAGCAUGGACGCACAAUUAUCCAAAGCAGGACUACGUUAAUAUGGACAGUCAGAAUAAAAUACCAAAUACAACAAGAGGACUAUGGUAUUUCAGCCUGUGCUCACCUAUGCUGUACUGAGGUUGAAACACCGGUGUCGGAGCGACCUCUUGAAUUCCUGCAAACAUAAACAAAGUUUCAGACAGGUGACAGGAAAAGAUACACAGAGGAGCUUCAGCAUUCCCACAUGAGCUGUCAGGUUGCUGCAGAGCGAGUGUGUGUUAUGUGUGCUAUGCUUGAAUGCCUCUCGGUGAGUGGGGCAUGUCCGCACAGAAGAUAAGCAAGUGUCAAAAAUGUGAGUGUGUGGUCCUUUUACGGCCUAGGAAAACACACUUAAACACAGCCUCAAACUUGACUUUAUGUAUUUUAAUAAGGUCAAGCCAUCACUUUUUGCAUGGUUUUGUCUCAAACAUUAAACAGAGUGUUGCUCGGACCGUGCGUCUGACACUGAACUCAUCCGCACGUAUAUUAUCCAGGCCUCUUGUAAAAGUGUGUGUAUGUGACAGUGCUGCCAUAUUUUACUAAGCUCACACUCCGUUCCCCCGUCCACGUCCUGUCCUCUCUGACACAACCAGGACAGUGACACCCUACACCCCCACUUUUAAAAGACAGGAAGCUGCUGUGUGGUUGUAUGUCUAAGCACAUAGGCCUACAGUAUGUGAGGGGUCAUAAUUAGGUAAAUGCAGUGUGUGAGCAGCGCUGGGUGAAGAGUGAGAUGUUUGAGAUCUUUACAAUACUAAUCUUUGCCUUAAAAAUACAGCAUAAAAAUUGAAAAAUGAUUAUACAUCUAAGAAAUAUCUGAUACAAAUAAGUAUACAAGACAACAAAUGUGUGUACUUGUCCUUCUAUGUCUUUUUAAACUAAAACGUUUUAUGAUAUAUAAUUUCACGUCUAUUUCAGCUUGCUUGAAAUUGUAAGCUAACAUUAGCUAGCUAACGUUAUAUUAAGUAUGUCCCAGUGCUUUCCUUCCCUUAUUGAUAUAAAUGAAGCCCCAUUCAUUUUGUAUGUAACAUUAUUAGCUGAAUUAUCACAAUGUCAAUUCAAAGGAAUUUAUAUUUUAGUUUUUCAGUUAACAGUAGUUUAAAAAACACAUUUAGUUGUAGCUUCAGCUCAAGCUAGCUAAUGGCUAUCUCACCAGCUGGCAUAUUUACAUUAAUUCCCUCUCCUUAGCUUGCUAGUUGCUUUUCUUGAUCAUAUAUAUAAUAUUCUGUAAGCUUCCUAAGAGGUUCUGUCUUGAUCUUUGUUUUUGUGUUGAAUGUUUCCUGUUUUAUUCUGAAAUGUAUUUUCGUCUCUUGUUUUACUUCCUGUCUUUUUCCCUCCUUUGUAAUUGGUAGCCCCGCCCUGAUUCUUUCCACCUGUGUGAGAUCUCCUUGCUCCCUUUGUGUGUUUACCUGGCCUCUGUUGUUUAUUUCAGAAGUCCUGUCUCUUUAUUUACCUCUCCGUCCAAGUUUUCUUUGUCAUUUCAUCCUAGUUCUACCUGUGAACCUCCCCCCUCACCUGGUGCUUCUUGUCAAGUGCCCUCUUGUGGUUGGAUUCUGAAUUGCUGCGCAGUUGUCUUUAAUCCUGCUGCAGCCCUCAUCACCUCCACCUGAGAUAGAACACACAUGUAUUAAACAAACAUGUGAAAGCAGCGCUGACAGCUGUCUGCGGUGCUGCUGGAAGAGGAAAGGUUCAAGUUGAAUCUACAGGAGGUCGUCCCGGACUCUGGGCAGGAAACCGAGCUGGAGCCGUCCAGCUGACUUGGUUCUGACAGAGGAACUUCUCCAGCCUCUUUUCCUGAUGAUUGAAGUACCAGUCCUCCACGACCUCCUCAUACUGCUCCAGCAUCGUCUCACACUGAACACAGGCAA